RNAcentral lists this ribosomal RNA (449 nucleotides) under uncultured bacterium. RNAcentral's name for it is "partial 16S ribosomal RNA". It matches the Rfam family "Bacterial small subunit ribosomal RNA", at positions 29 to 523 of the family's 1533-position model. The record is from RNAcentral.
AACGAACGCUGGCGGCAUGCCUAACACAUGCAAGUCGAACGAGACCUUCGGGUCUAGUGGCGCACGGGUGCGUAACGCGUGGGAACCUGCCUUUAGGUUCGGAAUAACUCAGAGAAAUUUGAGCUAAUACCGGAUAAUGUCUUCGGACCAAAGAUUUAUCGCCUUUAGAUGGGCCCGCGUAGGAUUAGCUAGUUGGUGGGGUAAAGGCCUACCAAGGCGACGAUCCUUAGCUGGUCUGAGAGGAUGAUCAGCCACACUGGGACUGAGACACGGCCCAGACUCCUACGGGAGGCAGCAGUGGGGAAUAUUGGACAAUGGGCGAAAGCCUGAUCCAGCAAUGCCGCGUGAGUGAUGAAGGCCUUAGGGUUGUAAAGCUCUUUUACCAGGGAUGAUAAUGACAGUACCUGGAGAAUAAGCUCCGGCUAACUCCGUGCCAGCCGCCGCGGUAA